AAAAAUGAAGUGCUCUAAACCACAAAAACCCAGACCCAAUAUUUAAUCCAGAGAACCCAAAGACAAAAGGCUGACCAGAAAAAAAAGAUAAUUUAAAUUUAAAACGUAUUUUAGGGUUUUCUUUACAGCGAAAAUGGCGCUUCUUAGAACGACAACGAACAUGAUUCUCAGACACAUCCUUCAACCAUACCUGUCAUUUCCUCCAUCAAUCCGUACGACUCUGCUUCGCUCCUCCAAUGGCGGAAUCAGAAUCGGCAGUGUCCGGUGCGCCGCGUCGAAUUCGGGAAGUGGCGGGAACAAGGUGUCGGCUCGGCUCUCUCAGGUCAACCAGCUCUUGCAAGCAGCCGAGGAGCGAGCUCUCUCCGCUGACACCCAGCCCCCUCCUAAGAUCACUUUAGACCAUGUAACUGUGAGUUUUGCAAGAAGUGGGGGACCUGGAGGUCAGAAUGUCAACAAAGUGAAUACCAAGGUGGACAUGCGCUUCAAUGUACAAAAGGCGUAUUGGCUAAGCGAAUGGAUCAGGGAGAGGAUUUUGCAAAUGGAGAAGAAUCGGAUUAACAAGGAUGGGGAGCUUGUGAUUUCUUCCACAAAGACUCGAACACAAAAGGGUAACAUUGAAGAUGCUCUUGAAAAACUCCAGGCAAUCAUUGAUGCUGCUUCUUAUGUCCCACCUCCUCCCUCAGAAGAGCAAAAGAAGAAGAUUGCUAAAAUGGCUGCUAUUGGCGAACAAAAACGCCUUAAGAGCAAGAAGGUUCUUUCAGACAAAAAAUCAUUCAGAAGAAGUCGAGACAGUUGGGACUGACCUACUCUACGUAUGGUCAGACUCACAGUUUGUUGAGAAUUUUUGUAUAUGUCGAGGAGAGGUCGAUGCAUUUGCGAUUCCAUGAUCAUAUGGAGAAACAGUUCAAGUGAUGGAAUUUUAUCACACCUUGGAUUCAAGAGCAGACUGCUGAAAAUACCAAUUGUUGGACAGAAUUAGUUCUUUUGAUGUAAAAUGACCAUAUGUCUAUAGGCUUUCAAACAGAAAACAUGAUGACUGUUACUGGAUGUACACAGAUCAACUAAUAGCUGCUCUGAAGAUAACUCUUUUGUCACAUUGUAUGACAUUCUCAAUGUUUAGCGCUUUCUAUUGGCAU
Non-coding RNA from Prunus mume (Japanese apricot), 1136 nucleotides. The record is from RefSeq and is a predicted model, not a curated record. Lineage: Eukaryota; Viridiplantae; Streptophyta; Magnoliopsida; Rosales; Rosaceae.